This 789-nucleotide ribosomal RNA is filed under the name unidentified. RNAcentral's name for it is "Circumfusicillium cavernae partial large subunit ribosomal RNA". It matches the Rfam family "Eukaryotic large subunit ribosomal RNA", at positions 87 to 911 of the family's 3401-position model. The record is from RNAcentral.
CGGCGAGUGAAGCGGCAACAGCUCAAAUUUGAAAUCUGGCCCUAGGCCCGAGUUGUAAUUUGUAGAGGAUGCUUCUGGCGACGUGCCUUCCGAGUUCCCUGGAACGGGACGCCAUAGAGGGUGAGAGCCCCGUCCGGUCGUGCACCUAGCCUCUGUGAAGCUCCUUCGACGAGUCGAGUAGUUUGGGAAUGCUGCUCUAAAUGGGAGGUAUACGUCUUCUAAAGCUAAAUACCGGCCAGAGACCGAUAGCGCACAAGUAGAGUGAUCGAAAGAUGAAAAGCACUUUGAAAAGAGGGUUAAAUAGUACGUGAAAUUGCUGAAAGGGAAGCGCUUAUGACCAGACUUGGGCCGGUUAAUCAUCCAGCGUUCUCGCUGGUGCACUUUGCCGGUCCAGGCCAGCAUCAGUUUGCCUUGGGGGAUAAAGGCUUCGGGAAUGUAGCUCCCUCGGGAGUGUUAUAGCCCGUUGUGUAAUACCCUGGGGCAGACUGAGGUACGCGUUCUGCAAGGAUGCUGGCGUAAUGGUCAUCAGUGACCCGUCUUGAAACACGGACCAAGGAGUCGUCUUCGUAUGCGAGUGUUCGGGUGUCAAACCCCUACGCGUAAUGAAAGUGAACGUAGGAGAGAGCUUCGGCGCAUCUCCGACCGAUCCUGAUGUUCUCGGAUGGAUUUGAGUAAGAGCAUACGGGGCCGGACCCGAAAGAAGGUGAACUAUGCCUGUAUAGGGUGAAGCCAGAGGAAACUCUGGUGGAGGCUCGCAGCGGUUCUGACGUGCAAAUCGAUCGUCAAAUA